Molecule: ribosomal RNA, 390 nt
Filed under: uncultured bacterium
Lineage: Bacteria
Description: bacterial SSU rRNA
Rfam family: Bacterial small subunit ribosomal RNA
Source: RNAcentral
GACGAACGCUGGCGGCGUGCUUAACACAUGCAAGUCGAGCGGUAAGGCCCUUUCGGGGGUACACGAGCGGCGAACGGGUGAGUAACACGUGGGUGACCUGCCCUCAGCUCUGGGAUAAGCCCGGGAAACUGGGUCUAAUACCGGAUAUGACUCCACGGUGCAUGUCGUGGGGUGGAAAGCCUUGUGCGGCUGAGGAUGGGCCCGCGGCCUAUCAGCUUGUUGGUGGGGUGAUGGCCACCAAGGCGACGACGGGUAGCCGGCCUGAGAGGGCGACCGGCCACACUGGGACUGAGACACGGCCCAGACUCCUACGGGAGGCAGCAGUGGGGAAUCUUGCGCAAUGGGCGAAAGCCUGACGCAGCGACGCCGCGUGAGGGAUGACGGCCUCGG